Molecule: ribosomal RNA, 284 nt
Filed under: uncultured bacterium
Lineage: Bacteria
Description: partial 16S ribosomal RNA
Rfam family: Bacterial small subunit ribosomal RNA
Source: RNAcentral
AUUGAACGCUGGCGGCGUGCUUAACACAUGCAAGUCGAACGCGAAAGGGGCUUCGGCCCUGAGUAAAGUGGCGCACGGGUGAGUAACGCGUGGAUAAUCUGCCCUUAUGAUCGGGAUAACAGUUGGAAACGGCUGCUAAUACCGGAUACGCUCAAAAUGAACUUUUUGAGGAAAGAUGGCCUCUGCUUGCAUGCUAUCGCGUAAGGAUGAGUCCGCGUCCCAUUAGCUUGUUGGCGGGGUAACGGCCCACCAAGGCAACGAUGGGUAGCCGAUUUGAGAGGAUG